GGGGGAUUAGCUCAGUUGGGAGAGCGCCUGCAUGGCAUGCAGGAGGUCAUCGGUUCAAGUCCGUUAUCCUCCA
Molecule: transfer RNA, 73 nt
Organism: Rhodopirellula maiorica SM1
Lineage: Bacteria; Pseudomonadati; Planctomycetota; Planctomycetia; Pirellulales; Pirellulaceae
Rfam family: tRNA
About the family: Transfer RNA (tRNA) molecules are approximately 80 nucleotides in length. Their secondary structure includes four short double-helical elements and three loops (D, anti-codon, and T loops). Further hydrogen bonds mediate the characteristic L-shaped molecular structure. tRNAs have two regions of fundamental functional importance: the anti-codon, which is responsible for specific mRNA codon recognition, and the 3' end, to which the tRNAs corresponding amino acid is attached (by aminoacyl-tRNA synthetases). tRNAs cope with the degeneracy of the genetic code in two manners: having more than one tRNA (with a specific anti-codon) for a particular amino acid; and 'wobble' base-pairing, i.e. permitting non-standard base-pairing at the 3rd anti-codon position.
Source: Rfam